UACGUAGGUGGCAAGCGUUGUCCGGAUUUACUGGGCGUAAAGAGCGCGCAGGCGGUCGGAUCAGUCGAAUGUGAAAGCCCCCGGCUCAACUGGGGAGGGUCAUUCGAUACUGUCCGACUCGAAGGCAGGAGAGGGAAGCGGAAUUCCCGGUGUAGUGGUGAAAUGCGUAGAUAUCUGGAGGAACACCGGUGGCGAAGGCGGCGUUCUGGACUGUUACUGACACUGAGGAACGAAAGCCAGGGGAGCAAACGGG
This 253-nucleotide ribosomal RNA is filed under the name uncultured bacterium. Its description in RNAcentral is "partial 16S ribosomal RNA". It matches the Rfam family "Bacterial small subunit ribosomal RNA", at positions 524 to 776 of the family's 1533-position model. The record is from RNAcentral.